UACGUAGGGCGCAAGCGUUAUCCGGAAUUAUUGGGCGUAAAGAGCUCGUAGGCGGUUUGUCGCGUCUGCCGUGAAAGUCCGGGGCUCAACUCCGGAUCUGCGGUGGGUACGGGCAGACUAGAGUGAUGUAGGGGAGACUGGAAUUCCUGGUGUAGCGGUGAAAUGCGUAGAUAUCGGGAGGAACACCAGAGGCGAAGGCGGGUUACUGGGCUGAUACUGACGCUGAUGCGCGAAAGCCAGGGGAGCAAACGGG
RNAcentral lists this ribosomal RNA (253 nucleotides) under uncultured bacterium. RNAcentral's name for it is "partial 16S ribosomal RNA". It matches the Rfam family "Bacterial small subunit ribosomal RNA", at positions 524 to 776 of the family's 1533-position model. The record is from RNAcentral.